UACGGAGGAUCCAAGCGUUAUCCGGAAUCAUUGGGUUUAAAGGGUCCGUAGGCGGUUUGGUAAGUCAGUGGUGAAAGCCCAUUGCUCAACGGUGGAACGGCCAUUGAUACUGCCAGACUUGAAUUAUUAGGAAGUAACUAGAAUAUGUAGUGUAGCGGUGAAAUGCUUAGAGAUUACAUGGAAUACCAAUUGCGAAGGCAGGUUACUACUAAUGGAUUGACGCUGAUGGACGAAAGCGUGGGUAGCGAACAGG
Molecule: ribosomal RNA, 253 nt
Filed under: uncultured bacterium
Lineage: Bacteria
Description: partial 16S ribosomal RNA
Rfam family: Bacterial small subunit ribosomal RNA
Source: RNAcentral